UUGGGUGCCAAUUAAAUUGACAAGCGCUGAGCCCAGUUGGAUUACUUCGACUUGUCUGAUGAGACACUAGUUCCCAAAUGUAUCAAUGAGCGUUAGGUGUAAGUUAUUCACUUCGAAAGACUAGUAUGAAAUUUGGAGUAUGGUAUGCUAUUACGGUAUAAAUAAUACAUUUGGUAUAAUGUUAUGUUUUAAUAAAACCUUGAAAGUUCUCUUAAAAUCUUAUCGCAUUGAUAUUGCUUAUAAUGAUGUCUUUGUAUAGAUUACUCAACGUUCAAUUGUUUCUAUACACAGGUUAGAUUAAGUACGUGAUCCUAUAUAUCGAUUUCAGCAUCCAGUGAAGAUCUCGGACUCAAUAAUGAUGGUGAACUUCCUUGUUAGUCAAUUGGCAUGUACCUAGGGGUGUCAUUUUGUAUAUUGUAUAUGAUUUAUUUUGGUUGAUCACAAGUUGAACUUAUAUGGCGUUUGACUUUGAAUACUAUAAAGAGUGUAUAAAAGUGUGAAUGAUGGCAUUAUGAUAAUUUAUGAUUGAAGCAUUUGGAUGGAAAAUUUUGAAUGUGGAUAAUGGAAUUAAGGUGAUUGAGAAUGGCAUAGAUUAUUUGAUAUGAAAAUGUGAUGUUAAUACAUGUUAUAAUGCAUGCUUGAAUGACUUAAAUUGGUAUGUAUUACUUUGUUGUGUAUUGGUACCAAUGAGACAUAUUUGUUUGAUGUUUAGGAUGAUGAAUGGUGAUAUGUUUGGCAUGGUUUGAGAAUGCUUGGAAUAGGUUUAAACAUGGUUAAAUGCAUAUGUAUGAUCUAAUUGUAAAGUUGAGUUGAAAACUUGUAUAAGAAGGCACAUUUAGGAUCCGCAUGGGCACAAUGAGGUACACGGCUUGAAUACACGGUCGUGUGAUCCCUGUUUACAAUUUUUUUCUUCUUUUUGAAACAUUUCCAGUUUGAUCUUUAUUUGUUCUCGGGUUGGCUUAAAAGCUCUCGUAAGCUCAUUUGAGACUCAGUUUAGUUUGAGACUCAGUUUAGUUUGUAAAUCAUAUUUGGCAUGGUUUAUGAAGUAUUUUAUUGUUUAAUCAGAAUUUUGAGCUUAACUUAAACGUGAUCUAUUUGGGUAAUUGCAGUAACAUUCCAUAGCUCGGGUUCAGCAACCUGACCAGACCGGGUAAGGGGUGUUACAAGUUUAAUAGUUUAUUGAGGAUGUAUCAAACAUAUUUAUGUUCUCCAGUUUAAUAAUAUAGAACUAAAUAGUGCUUGUACAUCAAUAAAAUUAUAUUUUUUAUUUGGAUUUUAAAAUAAUGAUUUUAGGUGCAUUGGCUU
RNAcentral lists this long non-coding RNA (1305 nucleotides) under Gossypium barbadense (sea-island cotton). RNAcentral describes it as "long non-coding RNA (GBAR_LNC004657)". The record is from RNAcentral. Lineage: Eukaryota; Viridiplantae; Streptophyta; Magnoliopsida; Malvales; Malvaceae.